Molecule: ribosomal RNA, 465 nt
Filed under: uncultured bacterium
Lineage: Bacteria
Description: partial 16S ribosomal RNA
Rfam family: Bacterial small subunit ribosomal RNA
Source: RNAcentral
GACGAACGCUGGCGGCGUGCUUAACACAUGCAAGUCGAACGGAAAGGCCCUGCUUGCAGGGUACUCGAGUGGCGAACGGGUGAGUAACACGUGGGUGAUCUGCCCUGCACUUCGGGAUAAGCCUGGGAAACUGGGUCUAAUACCGGAUAGGAGCCAUUUUUAGUGUGAUGGUUGGAAAGUUUUUUCGGUGUAGGAUGAGCUCGCGGCCUAUCAGCUUGUUGGUGGGGUAAUGGCCUACCAAGGCGGCGACGGGUAGCCGGCCUGAGAGGGUGGACGGCCACAUUGGGACUGAGAUGCGGCCCAGGCUCCGACGGGAGGCAGCAGUGGGGAAUAUUGCACAAGGGGCGCAAGCCUGAUGCAGCGACGCCGCGUGGGGGAUGACGGCCUUCGGGUUGUAAACUCCAUUCGCUAGGGACGAAGCUUUUUGUGACGGUACCUAGAUAAGAAGCACCGGCUAACUACGUG